UACGUAUGGUGCAAGCGUUAUCCGGAUUUACUGGGUGUAAAGGGAGCGUAGACGGCAGAGCAAGUCUGAAGUGAAAGCCCGCGGCCCAACUGCGGGACUGCUUUGGAAACUGCCCGGCUAGAGUGCUGGAGAGGUAAGCGGAAUUCCUAGUGUAGCGGUGAAAUGCGUAGAUAUUAGGAGGAACACCAGUGGCGAAGGCGGCUUACUGGACAGUAACUGACGUUGAGGCUCGAAAGCGUGGGGAGCAAACAGG
Molecule: ribosomal RNA, 253 nt
Filed under: uncultured bacterium
Lineage: Bacteria
Description: partial 16S ribosomal RNA
Rfam family: Bacterial small subunit ribosomal RNA
Source: RNAcentral